CAACAUAUUAUUUUGACUUUAUUGAUGAACCAUUCCAUUUGAGCUCUUUGUUAUUUCAAAACCUAAUGAACCAUUUAUUCGCAGAUUUUUCGGACGAUUCUGCUGUGCUGCGUUCCUGCUCCGCCUGUAUAUUGCUCCGCCCGUAUUUUAUAGUGUUGCGUUCCUGUUGCGCCUUUGCAUUAGUGUGUGCGUUGUGAUUUAGACACGUUGAAAUUUUUUGUAUGCUUCUGCUGUGCUGCGUUCCUGCUCCACCCGUGUAUUAGAUUGCUGCGUUCCUGUUAACAUACAUAUCGUCGCUUAAAGUACAAAACCGCGUAAAAUUUGCUGCUAAAAAUUGGAUUCGCUCACACACGUUUUUGGAUCAAUCCUUAUCUAUUCUUCCUGAAAUAUACUAGCCAAAAAUGCGAUUGCUUUUUACAAAAA
Rhagoletis pomonella (apple maggot) is the source of this 423-nucleotide long non-coding RNA. RefSeq lists it as uncharacterized. The record is from RefSeq and is a predicted model, not a curated record. The transcript has 2 exons. Lineage: Eukaryota; Metazoa; Arthropoda; Insecta; Diptera; Tephritidae.